Molecule: non-coding RNA, 149 nt
Organism: Xylaria bambusicola
Lineage: Eukaryota; Fungi; Ascomycota; Sordariomycetes; Xylariales; Xylariaceae
Source: the annotation of a RefSeq genome assembly
UCUCGAUUAGUCUAGUGGUGAAGAUACCUGCUUGUCAAUGUCUGUGAGGUGUUCAGCCCCGACCUCUGACGACACUGAAAGUCUUUCAUGUUUGGGCUGAGCACCACACAAGCCCGCAGGUGGCCGGGGUUCGAUUCCCCGAUCGAGAG